GAAGCGCGCUGAUCGUGCUGUUCCGGGGGUGUUAAUCACAGUGGAUCCCCUGGGAGAGGACACGUCCCUAGUCCCAUUUCACAGAUGAGGAAGUUGUGGCUCAGAAAAGGGGCGGAAACUAAAGUUCGGAAAGGUAGAGCGACUUGCCCAAGGUCGCGGGACUAGAAGGUGGCGGGGCCAGGAUUCGAACCAUCGAGCUGAGCCGACGUACUGGCGAGGAUCCCCCAGGGGCAUAGAGAGGAGACGGAGCCGGUUA
This 256-nucleotide long non-coding RNA is filed under the name Homo sapiens (human). RNAcentral's name for it is "non-protein coding lnc-NACC1-1:2". Lineage: Eukaryota; Metazoa; Chordata; Mammalia; Primates; Hominidae. The record is from RNAcentral.